This 476-nucleotide ribosomal RNA is filed under the name uncultured Desulfobacteraceae bacterium. RNAcentral's name for it is "bacterial SSU rRNA". It matches the Rfam family "Bacterial small subunit ribosomal RNA", at positions 128 to 580 of the family's 1533-position model. The record is from RNAcentral. Lineage: Bacteria; Pseudomonadati; Thermodesulfobacteriota; Desulfobacteria; Desulfobacterales; Desulfobacteraceae.
ACCUCCGAAUUGGGGAUAACAUUGCGAAAGCGAUGCUAAUACCGAAUGACAUCUCAAUAACUUCGGUCUUUGAGAUCAAAGAUGGCCUCUCCAUGGAAGCUAUUGUUUGGAGAUGAGCCCGCGUACCAUUAGCUUGUUGGUAGGGUAAUGGCCUACCAAGGCAACGAUGGUUAGCUGGUCUGAGAGGAUGAUCAGCCACACUGGAACUGACACACGGUCCAGACUCCUACGGGAGGCAGCAGUGAGGAAUUUUGCGCAAUGGGGGAAACCCUGACGCAGCAACGCCGCGUGAGUGAUGAAGGCUUUCGGGUCGUAAAGCUCUGUCAAGUGAGAAGAACCUGCCCUUUGCUAAUAUCAUUGGGCACUGACGGUAUCACUGAAGGAAGCACCGGCUAACUCCGUGCCAGCAGCCGCGGUAAUACGGAGGGUGCAAGCGUUAUUCGGAAUCACUGGGCGUAAAGAGCGCGUAGGCGGUU